CCGUGCCCAAGAGAUCGGGAUAACACCUGGAAACAGAUGCUAAUACCGGAUAACAACAGAUGAUGCCUAUCAACUGUUUAAAAGAUGGUUCUGCUAUCACUCUUGGAUGGACCUGCGGUGCAUUAGCUAGUUGGUAGGGUAACGGCAUACCAAGGCGAUGAUGCAUAGCCGAGUUGAGAGACUGAUCGGCCACAUUGGGACUGAGACACGGCCCAAACUCCUACGGGAGGCAGCAGAC
This 238-nucleotide ribosomal RNA is filed under the name uncultured Lactobacillus sp. Its description in RNAcentral is "partial 16S ribosomal RNA". It matches the Rfam family "Bacterial small subunit ribosomal RNA", at positions 125 to 354 of the family's 1533-position model. Lineage: Bacteria; Bacillati; Bacillota; Bacilli; Lactobacillales; Lactobacillaceae. The record is from RNAcentral.